GGAUUAGUGGCGAACGGGUGAGUAACACGUGGGCAAUCUGCCCUGCACUCUGGGACAAGCCCUGGAAACGGGGUCUAAUACCGGAUACUGAUCGCCUUGGGCAUCCUUGGUGAUCGAAAGCUCCGGCGGUGCAGGAUGAGCCCGCGGCCUAUCAGCUUGUUGGUGAGGUAAUGGCUCACCAAGGCGACGACGGGUAGCCGGCCUGAGAGGGCGACCGGCCACACUGGGACUGAGACACGGCCCAGACUCCUACGGGAGGCAGCAGUGGGGAAUAUUGCACAAUGGGCGAAAGCCUGAUGCAGCGACGCCGCGUGAGGGAUGACGGCCUUCGGGUUGUAAACCUCUUUCAGCAGGGAAGAAGCGAAAGUGACGGUACCUGCAGAAGAAGCGCCGGCUAACUACGUGCCAGCAGCCGCGGUAAUACGUAGGGCGCGAGCGUUGUCCGGAAUUAUUGGGCGUAAAGAGCUCGUAGGCGGCUUGUCGCGUCGGUUGUGAAAGCCCGGGGCUUAACCCCGGGUCUGCAGUCGAUACGGGCAGGCUAGAGUUCGGUAGGGGAGAUCGGAAUUCCUGGUGUAGCGGUGAAAUGCGCAGAUAUCAGGAGGAACACCGGUGGCGAAGGCGGAUCUCUGGGCCGAUACUGACGCUGAGGAGCGAAAGCGUGGGGAGCGAACAGGAUUAGAUACCCUGGUAGUCCACGCCGUAAACGGUGGGCACUAGGUGUGGGCGACAUUCCACGUCGUCCGUGCCGCAGCUAACGCAUUAAGUGCCCCGCCUGGGGAGUACGGCCGCAAGGCUAA
This 797-nucleotide ribosomal RNA is filed under the name Streptomyces thermocarboxydus. RNAcentral's name for it is "bacterial SSU rRNA". It matches the Rfam family "Bacterial small subunit ribosomal RNA", at positions 89 to 897 of the family's 1533-position model. Lineage: Bacteria; Bacillati; Actinomycetota; Actinomycetes; Kitasatosporales; Streptomycetaceae. The record is from RNAcentral.